GGCAUAAGGGAGCUUGACUGCGAGACCUACAAGUCGAGCAGGGUCGAAAGACGGACUUAGUGAUCCGGUGGUUCCGCAUGGAAGGGCCAUCGCUCAACGGAUAAAAGCUACCCCGGGGAUAACAGGCUUAUCUCCCCCAAGAGUUCACAUCGACGGGGAGGUUUGGCACCUCGAUGUCGGCUCAUCGCAUCCUGGGGCUGUAGUCGGUCCCAAGGGUUGGGCUGUUCGCCCAUUAAAGCGGUACGCGAGCUGGGUUCAGAACGUCGUGAGACAGUUCGGUCCCUAUCCGUCGUGGGCGUAGGAAAUUUGAGAGGAGCUGUCCUUAGUACGAGAGGACCGGGAUGGACAUACCUCUGGUGUACCAGUUGUCGUGCCAACGGCAUAGCUGGGUAGCUAUGUGUGGACGGGAUAAGUGCUGAAAGCAUCUAAGCAUGAAGCCCCCCUCAAGAUGAGAUUUCCCAACUUCG
Molecule: ribosomal RNA, 467 nt
Filed under: Staphylococcus aureus
Lineage: Bacteria; Bacillati; Bacillota; Bacilli; Caryophanales; Staphylococcaceae
Description: partial 23S ribosomal RNA
Rfam family: Bacterial large subunit ribosomal RNA
Source: RNAcentral